This 208-nucleotide ribosomal RNA is filed under the name uncultured Armatimonadota bacterium. RNAcentral's name for it is "uncultured Armatimonadetes bacterium partial 16S ribosomal RNA". It matches the Rfam family "Bacterial small subunit ribosomal RNA", at positions 568 to 775 of the family's 1533-position model. The record is from RNAcentral. Lineage: Bacteria; Bacillati; Armatimonadota.
CGCGUAGGCGGGCUAUUAAGUUGGGGGUGAAAUUCCGAGGCUUAACCUCGGAACUGCCUUCAAAACUGGUAGCCUUGAGGUAUGGAGAGGGAAGUGGAAUUCCAGGUGUAGCGGUGAAAUGCGUAGAUAUCUGGAGGAACACCCGUGGCGAAGGCGGCUUCCUGGCCAUAUCCUGACGCUGAGGUGCGAAAGCUAGGGGAGCGAACGG